Molecule: small nuclear RNA, 104 nt
Organism: Spermophilus dauricus (Daurian ground squirrel)
Lineage: Eukaryota; Metazoa; Chordata; Mammalia; Rodentia; Sciuridae
Source: Ensembl
GUGCUCGUUUCGGCAGCACAUAUACUAAAAUUGAAACGAUAGAGAAAUUAGCAUGGCCCCUGAGCAAGGAUGACAUGCAAAUUCAUGAAGCAUUUCAUAUUUUU